Molecule: non-coding RNA, 1385 nt
Organism: Macaca mulatta (Rhesus monkey)
Lineage: Eukaryota; Metazoa; Chordata; Mammalia; Primates; Cercopithecidae
Source: RefSeq, a predicted model, not a curated record
ACAGUUUAUAGUGGGUAUUAUGCAUACUGGGUUUCCAGUAAUGAGGUAGAGGACAUGAAUUUAAGAGGACUAUGACCUAGUAACCCACAUAUUAGAGGUUAAGGUUACACUCAGAAUGGAGUUAUAUGAACUUAUAACUGAGAAUGGAGUUAUAUGAAUGGAAAAUGAACAUAUAAUGAAGGGGUUAGUCACCUCGAUUAUCAGUAUAUCAUAUUACACUGAUAAUCUGUAAAUGGGUGGUAGCCAUAGGAGUCCAGCGCAUCUCAGUUUAGUGACUUGAGAGGCAAGAGUGGAAAUGUGUCAUAAUUAAGAGAACUUAAUCUUUGCCCGCAUAUCAUACUUUGAAGGAAAACUGGUAGGGGUGGCAAAAAGGGAGACAGUGGCCAUACAGACCCUAGGAGAGGAGGAGACAGAACAAGAAUCAGGCUGCAUAUCCACCUCUAGCAGGCCUUGCCCAGAGACCAGUGUCACCAGCCCUAGCGACCAUGCACUGAUCGCUCUUGCUCUGGCUGUUCUUGCUUAUCCAGCAGCUGGACUUUCGGAGUAGAUUUGUCCAUAACGGGAUAAGGUAUAGCAGAAGAUCCCAGAAUUUUUUUUUUUUUUUUUUUUUUUUUGCAUUAAGUUCCAAUUGUGUUUGUAAAGGAGCAUUAAGGUCUAAGAUUGCCAAUUCCCUGAGCCUGAUCAACCCUGGAUGCAUCCACACAAUUGCAUUCCUGGACAUACAGACCUGGGGAGCAUGUCCUGAAGAGUCCACCAAGAUGAGGCUACUCCAUAUUGCAGGGCAUGGGGGGAUCGGAGAGACUAAAGCUCCUUAAAGAUUUACUAUGCACCAGGUGCUCUCCACGCAUGUAUAGGAGAGUUCUGUCUGUGAUUUUCUCAGAGUUUAUUUUUUAUUCAACAAUCAUUUAUUUAAGUGCUUCUUACGGGCCAGGCACUGUGCCAGAUGGUGAGUGUAUUAGGCCAUUCUUGCGUUGCUAUGAAGAAAUACCUGAGACUGGGUACUUUAUAAGAAAAGAGGCUUAAUUGGCUUGCAGUUUUGCAGGCAGUACAGGAAGCAGGGUACCAGCAUCUGCUUCUGGGGAGGCCUCAGGAAACUUCCAAUCAUGGCAGAAGGCAAAGGAAAGCUACUGGAGGAUGUGCUUCAGCAAAACAAGGAAUUAAACUAAGAAAGACAGCAAUAUGGCAUUCAAUAAAUGAGAUUAAACACAGAAAACGGAUGAUGAGAAAAGCCUGGGAUGUCAAAUAUACUCCCGGGUAAAGAAAGUAACCAACCCAGCCUGAAACCAGAAGAUGUGCUCCAGGAGUGAUGUCUCCAGAGGAAAAUGAAAUCAACUGAUCAUUAGCUAUGUUUGGAUAUAUUGAGUAAAUGUUCAGUUAUAUUGGAA